UCAGUCGACUCCUACGGGAGGCAGCAGUAGGGAAUCUUGCGCAAUGGGCGAAAAGCCUGACGCAGCCAUGCCGCGUGAAUGAUGAAGGUCUUAGGAUUGUAAAAUUCUUUCACCGGGGGACGAUAAUGACGGUACCCCGGAGAAGAAGCCCCGGCUAACUUCGUGCCAGCAGCCGCGGUAAUACGAAGGGGGCUAGCGUUGCUCGGAAUUACUGGGCGUAAAGGGAGCGUAGGCGGAUAGUUUAGUCAGAGGUGAAAGCCCAGGGCUCAACCUUGGAAUUGCCUUUGAUACUGGCUAUCUUGAGUAUGGAAGAGGUAUGUGGAACUCCGAGUGUAGAGGUGAAAAUUCGUAGAUAUUCGGAAGAACACCAGUGGCGAAGGCGACAUACUGGUCCAUUACUGACGCUGAGGCUCGAAAGCGUGGGGAGCAAACAGGAUUAGAUACCCUGGUAG
Molecule: ribosomal RNA, 452 nt
Filed under: uncultured bacterium
Lineage: Bacteria
Description: bacterial SSU rRNA
Rfam family: Bacterial small subunit ribosomal RNA
Source: RNAcentral